Molecule: RNA transcript, 1855 nt
Organism: Monomorium pharaonis (pharaoh ant)
Lineage: Eukaryota; Metazoa; Arthropoda; Insecta; Hymenoptera; Formicidae
Gene name: leucine-rich repeat-containing protein 15
Exons: 3
Source: RefSeq, a predicted model, not a curated record
CAAAUUGUUCCAUUAUGUCACACUUUUGAGAAAUUUGCAAUUAAAGUUGCUAAAAAUGGAUUAUUUUUAUAUAUUUUAUCAUCUUAUAACUAGGAUGUAGAACGUGCUGGAGAAAUUUUACAAUCAAAAUUAGAAAUGACUAGUCCUACUUUUAAUGGUUUUCUUAAGUUAUUUCUUCGUUUAAUUGUGUUGUUAACAAUUAAAAGUAUUAAAUAUAAUCUUAUAAAUGUAAAAGCAUUUACACAUACAUACACACAUAGAUAUCUCGUGCUUAUAAAUGUAAUUAAAGGAUAUAUUAGUCGAACAAUAUGCGAGAAAUAUUUAUUUACACGUACUAAUGAAUGUGGAUUAGACUUAAUUUUAAAGCUAUUUAAAUCUGCUCAUGUUGAAAAACUUAGCUGAAAAUUAAUUGAUUUUUAAUAAAGCUUUUUUGCAUAAUCUAAUUAUUAUAAAAGAAUUAAUAAACGAUAACGUUAUCGACUAUUUUUGCGAGGCUUCUAUGUAGUUUGUAAAUUAAUUAUGAACUCCAAGAUAAUGCGAGAUAUUAUGUUGUGGUAGAUAACCAUGUAGUAACUUAUCGCCAAUAUAUAUAUAUAUAUAUUCCUGUGUAAUAAUACCUCGUAAACGUUGUGUACGCGAAGAAACCCCGACGCAUACGAAGUUAGUGCACAAUCAGCCUCCGAGCACACUAUGUGCUUCCUGCUUCUCAUUUAUCUCCUCUUAUCGGGCAACGUCGUGAAUGUUUUCACGAAGGACGCCGAUUGCCAGGUUUACAACCACCUGUACGUCUGUUUAGAAAAUGGUGGUUUUCUUCACAGCGUCGUUUUCGAGGACAUUAACGCUGUUCAGACGAUCGAGGAUAUUGAGCUGCAUCUGGAGAAUCUCGGGAUUGUCAACAUCGUCAGGAACACUUUCGCUGAGGUCAGCAACUCAUCCGCUCUCUAUGUCCACGAUAAUCAAUUAUCAAGUAUCAACCGACAUUACUUCGACGCUCUCGAUCAGCUCACUUAUUUGGACCUGAGAAACAAUACGAUCACCAAUUUAGAAGAUGGUGCUUUCGGAAAUUUGAGCAAUUUGGAAACUCUGCUGCUGGAUCACAACAAUAUCUCGGACUUGCGACCUGGCAUGUGGAAAGGUCUUUCGCAGUUGCAUGAACUCUACAUCACCAACAACCGGCUCACAUUGAGAAAAAACAUGUUCAAAGGACUCAGGCAGCUCGAAACUUUGGUCUUGGACUCGAACGAUAUAUCGGAGAUACCGAUCGGCGCAUUUAACGGGUUAUCCCAUAUAGACCUUCUCUAUCUUUCGCACAACAAGAUCUCGACCUUGCACCCCGACGUGUUCCGCGGUCUCAGCGAGAUAAACGAGCUCGACUUGGGCAGGAAUCGACUGAGAACAAUUCCCGCCAAUGUCUUUCGGAACAUGAAGUCACUGAACUCGCUGUGGCUGAAUAGCAAUCAGUUGACAGUGCUAAAGUCCGACACCUUUCAGGGUCUGGACAAUUUACUGUUUCUCUUCCUGAACAACAACGACCUCCGUUACGUGGACAUGGCGGCGUUCGCGAGAAUGAAAAACAUAACCGUGGAUCCCGGUUUCAGAAUAGGCGGCUCGUUAGUGGACGACUUUGGAAAAAUCCACGGUCAAUAUCAGUGCAGUAGCGUGGCGUAUCAGAUACCGUACGACUGUACAGAGAUUGAUUCAUAGAUUCAAGAAAUCGGCUGACGCUCUUUUUAAAGGUUACGGUCAAGACAAUCCUCCUCAUCCUUGUUAUUGGAGAACAUCCAUGGAUUAUGGCUGCGCCGAGCUCGGCCGCGCAGGAAUGUACAGAAAUUGUUCUCUCAAUACAGAACUCGAU